This 520-nucleotide long non-coding RNA is filed under the name Papio anubis (olive baboon). RNAcentral's name for it is "lncRNA (ENSPANG00000046981.1)". Lineage: Eukaryota; Metazoa; Chordata; Mammalia; Primates; Cercopithecidae. The record is from RNAcentral.
UUUUGGAAAUCAUGCUUGUCUUUGAAAACUCUGCAACUGCUUCAGAGAGAAGAGCAUGAAGAAAAAAUAAUCAUUAUAAUCAUCUUCAGCUCCAUGACUGCAGUUUAGUAAGACGUGAAGAGCCUCAGGUUAUGAGACUUAGGUCAACUGUUUUGUUUAUCAAAGAAAGAUAAGGAAGUUUCCAACUCAUGAAAGGGUGUUACUGACAGUCGCAGUAAGACAUUUGGAAUCCAUGUGUAAACUUUGUGAUGAACAUGGCCCCGCACAGAGGACCUGAGACAUUUUGAGGAGGGCCUUCUAUGUUUCUUCUCCCAGCACAUGAGGAAAGUGAACCCCACUGGUGUAGCUCUCUGUCAGUAAAAAAGAGCACAAACUCCUGUUUCUGAACCAACAUGAAAGAAUGGAUAAUAUUGCCAGUCAUCUUGGGGAAGGCAUGGGAUUCAAAGGUAUGGGCUUUGCAUUGAGGCAGUCCUCUGUAUCUUGUUACCCCUGUGGAACUUUGGAAAAGCGGAGUAUAUGA